RNAcentral lists this ribosomal RNA (291 nucleotides) under uncultured bacterium. RNAcentral describes it as "partial 16S ribosomal RNA". The record is from RNAcentral.
GGACUACCAGGGUAUCUAAUCCUGUUUGCUCCCCACGCUUUCGAGCCUCAGCGUCAGUUACAAGCCAGAGAGCCGCUUUCGCCACCGGUGUUCCUCCAUAUAUCUACGCAUUUCACCGCUACACAUGGAAUUCCACUCUCCCCUCUUGCACUCAAGUUAAACAGUUUCCAAAGCGUACUAUGGUUAAGCCACAGCCUUUAACUUCAGACUUAUCUAACCGCCUGCGCUCGCUUUACGCCCAAUAAAUCCGGACAACGCUCGGGACCUACGUAUUACCGCGGCUGCUGGCAC